CAGGUGGAGGGGACCUGGCUCCCCAAGGAGGGUGGGGGUGGAGCCUGAGGCCUGGGUGCCCAGAUGCCUGGUCUAGGGUGGGGACCCCCUUGGUGUUUCCGCUCUCUCUCAAUGCCCAUUCUUUGUGGGUUCCUGGUUCUCUGCGGGUUCUUUCCUGCUGAAGACAAUUCUCUUCCUCUCCCAGUCCCCAAGACUGGGGGGUUAAGCUCAGGGCUCCAGUGGUUUGGGCCUCAGCCUCAUGGGUGGAAUGCGCCUGCCACCCCCAGGCUAGACGAGGGGGCAGAGGGUCAGGGUGGGCAUUCGUUGUGCCGCUUUUGAGCUUUGUGGGCCAGAGCUGGGUGUAGGGCUGGACAAUGAGCCUCCUCUUCCUUGAAAGAAGGAAUUUUGGCUGAGACAAUAGGGCCCUGUCUGUUCUGGCAUGGGGGGUGGUGGCUGACUCAAUUCUGUUCCCCCUAAGCCCUAACAAAUGUCAUGAAGAGAGGGGGGCAGUUUUCCCCUUGGUGCCCUGGGCUGCCCCCCUGCCCCUUUGUGACGACUUGCCCUUCUAGCUUUCCUCAGCUGAUCUUGCUUUUUCUCCCAUAACCUGAACUGCUUUGUUCCCUGCAGCUGGUUCUCUCCCUGCCCCCUAACUCUCCCCUAGUCUGUUUUGGGUUCAAGGGGGUACUGGUGGUGUUACAGAGCUCAUAGCUUCUGAUCUGGGGAGUCCAGAAAUAGGGGCCUCAGAGGGUUGGAAAGAUACUUCUAGGGAGCCCUUUGCUGGGGUGGGGAUGAG
This 772-nucleotide long non-coding RNA is filed under the name Homo sapiens (human). Its description in RNAcentral is "HSALNT0104769". Lineage: Eukaryota; Metazoa; Chordata; Mammalia; Primates; Hominidae. The record is from RNAcentral.